CAGGCCUAACACAUGCAAGUCGAACGGACGAGUAAGAGCUUGCUCUUACAAGUUAGUGGCGGACGGGUGAGUAACACGUGAGUAACCUGCCCUUGAGAGUGGAAUAACGUUUGGAAACGAACGCUAAUACCGCAUAACGUAGUUGAAUGGCAUCAUUUAAUUACCAAAGAUUUAUCGCUCAAGGAUGGACUCGCGCCCGAUUAGCUAGUGGUGGGGUAAUGGCUCACCAAGGCGACGAUCGGUAGCCGGACUGAGAGGUUGAACGGCCACAUUGGGACUGAGACACGGCCCAGACUCCUACGGGAGGCAGCAGUGGGGGAUAUUGCACAAUGGGCGAAAGCCUGAUGCAGCGAUGCCGCGUGUAGGAAGACGGCCUUAUGGGUUGUAAACUACUGUUUUCGGGGACGAUAAUGACGGUACCCGACAAGAAAGCUCCGGCUAACUACGUGCCAGCAGCCGCGGUAAUACGUAGGGAGCGAGCGUUAUCCGGAAUUACUGGGUGUAAAAGGGAGACGUAGGCGGGAAGGUAAGUUGGAUGUGAAAACUACGGGCUCAACUCGUAGACUGCAUUCAAAACUACUUUUCUUGAGUGAUGUAGAGGCAGGCGGAAUUCCUAGUGUAGACGGUGAAAUGCGUAGAUAUUAAGGAGGAACACCAGUGGCGAAGGCGGCCUGCUGGGCAUUUACUGAACGCUGAGGCUCGAAAGUGUGGGUAGCAAAACAGGAUUAAGAUACCCUGGCAGUCCACACUGUAAACGAUGAUUACUAGGUGUGGGGGGUCUGACCCCCUCCGUGCCGGAGUUAACACAAUAAGUAAUCCACCUGGGGAGUACUGCCGCAAGGUUGAAACUCAAAGGAAUUGACGGGGGCCCGCACAAGCAGUGGAGUAUGUGGUUAAUUCGAAACAACGCGAAAACCCUUACAAGUCUGACAUCGGAUGCUUACCUCAGAGAUUAGGAAAGUCCUCCGGAACAUCCCGACAGGGUGGUGCAA
This 992-nucleotide ribosomal RNA is filed under the name uncultured bacterium. RNAcentral's name for it is "bacterial SSU rRNA". It matches the Rfam family "Bacterial small subunit ribosomal RNA", at positions 43 to 1046 of the family's 1533-position model. The record is from RNAcentral.